This 109-nucleotide ribosomal RNA is filed under the name Nannospalax galili (Upper Galilee mountains blind mole rat). Lineage: Eukaryota; Metazoa; Chordata; Mammalia; Rodentia; Spalacidae. The record is from RNAcentral.
AUCUAUGGCCAUACCACCCCGAACACAUCGAAUCUGGUCUGAUCUCAGAAGCUAAGCAGGGUCAGGUCUGGUUAGUAUUUGAAUGGGAGAAAAGUUACCAUCUUGACUU